RNAcentral lists this ribosomal RNA (253 nucleotides) under uncultured bacterium. RNAcentral's name for it is "partial 16S ribosomal RNA". It matches the Rfam family "Bacterial small subunit ribosomal RNA", at positions 524 to 776 of the family's 1533-position model. The record is from RNAcentral.
UACGAAGGGGGCUAGCGUUGCUCGGAAUUACUGGGCGUAAAGCGCACGUAGGCGGGUUCUUAAGUCGGUGGUGAAAUCCUGGAGCUCAACUCCAGAACUGCCUUUGAUACUGAAGAUCUUGAGUCCGGGAGAGGUGAGUGGAACUGCGAGUGUAGAGGUGAAAUUCGUAGAUAUUCGCAAGAACACCAGUGGCGAAGGCGGCUCACUGGCCCGGUACUGACGCUGAGGCACGAAAGCGUGGGGAGCAAACAGG